GGGAUAUUGCACAAUGGAGGAAACUCUGAUGCAGCGACGCCGCGUGAGUGAAGAAGUAUUACGGUAUGUCAAGCUCUAUCAGCAGGGAAGAAAGGCCGCGUAAGCGGAGAUGACGGUACCUGACUAAGAAGCCCCGGCUAACUACGUGCCAGCAGCCGCGGUAAUACGUAGGGGGCAAGCGUUAUCCGGAUUUACUGGGUGUAAAGGGGGCGCAGACGGGCUUGCAAGUCUGAAGUGAAAACCCACGGCUCAACUGUGGGCUUGCUUUGGAAACUGUAAACCUGGAGUGUCGGAGGGGUAAGCGGAAUUCCUGGUGUAGCGGUGAAAUGCGUAGAUAUCAGGAAGAACACCGGUGGCGAAGGCGGCUUACUGGACGACAACUGACGUUGAGGCCCGAAGGCGUGGGGAGCAAACA
This 415-nucleotide ribosomal RNA is filed under the name uncultured bacterium. RNAcentral describes it as "bacterial SSU rRNA". It matches the Rfam family "Bacterial small subunit ribosomal RNA", at positions 358 to 774 of the family's 1533-position model. The record is from RNAcentral.